AUCAAGUUGUCAAUCAGAUGUCAAUUGUCAUUGUCACUGUCACUUCUAUUGAUUUUCUUUUCUCGUUUCAAAAAUAUUUUAGAAUUCUGGAUAGAAGAAUACCUAAAUUAUAAUAAAGUUACAGAAUACCGACAGAAUAAAAUGAUACGUAGCAAAUUGGUUCAGGUUUCGAAUGUAGCACGCAGUUUACAGGUUGCCGGAUUUUCUAGUGAUACCACGAGGGAUGUAGAUACUACAUAUAUGGAGAUUCCGUUGUACGACGUGGACAAACCACAAACAUUAAAGAAUAGAAAGGCUAGAUUACAGUAUCAAUCCCGCAAAAGAGGAAUGUUGGAGAAUGACUUAUUACUGAGUACCUUUGCCAAGAAAUACCUAGACGGUUUUACAGAUGAGCAAACUAUGAUGUAUGAUCGACUCAUCAACUCUCCUAGUAACGACUGGGAUAUAUUCUAUUGGGCAGUAGAAAAGAAGCCAACACCGAAAGAGUUUGAUAAUGAAAUUAUGGAUAUGCUGAAGAAACAUGCUAAAAAUGAAGACCGAGUUAUACUCUCCCAACCUCCGCUAAACUAAUGGAUUGAUGAUAAAAAAUAAUGUAACUAAAUUAGUAUUAUUAGAAAUUUAAUAGAAAUUCUACUAAAUGUUGUAGUAGUUGAAAAUAGAGGUCUUAGUAAAAUGGAUAUACGAGAAUCAACACAAGAUGCAGACAAUACGGUGCUGCAGUUCCCUGCUGCGGUACAAGGAGGUGGAGGAGAGUGCACAAGUGGAGCCCGAGACGAUAUCAAUUCCUCAGACCACACCGAUCCCACAAAUAGCACCUGAAUUUU
This is an RNA transcript of Bicyclus anynana (squinting bush brown), 824 nucleotides long. It is a transcript of the gene named succinate dehydrogenase assembly factor 2-A, mitochondrial, with no coding region annotated. NCBI's taxonomy places the organism in Eukaryota, Metazoa, Arthropoda, Insecta, Lepidoptera, Nymphalidae. The record is from RefSeq and is a predicted model, not a curated record. The transcript is spliced from 4 exons.